AACCUAGAACCCACAAAGGGU
RNAcentral lists this small nuclear RNA (21 nucleotides) under Arabidopsis thaliana (thale cress). RNAcentral's name for it is "snRNA_10551". Lineage: Eukaryota; Viridiplantae; Streptophyta; Magnoliopsida; Brassicales; Brassicaceae. The record is from RNAcentral.